CAUGCCGUGCCUCAUUUGGCAGGGGGACACUGAAGAGGUCAGAUGGACUCCUCACUCCUCUUUGUUUCCUUCUGUAGGGUUACAUACCAUACAGGAGGUCACUUUGGGUCACAGAUCAUGGAGGGCAAAACUGAUGAAGGUGCUGAAUGGACAUCAUGCUGUCUCUAUGGAGGAAGCCCUUUUCAUUGCAUUUGGCUCACCUGGUAGUGUCCGGAUACGCUGGUGGAGAGAGACAUACAGGCCAGGCCAGACAGAACAAAGGGGCUGCCAUAUAGUAGGCAUGCAUGUGAGUGGGAGUGCGUUCUCAUGACUGGGCUAUGUUGUCAUACUGAGUGACACCCCCUGUGAAAAAUGCUAAAAUGUCUUGACAUGGU
Engraulis encrasicolus (European anchovy) is the source of this 374-nucleotide long non-coding RNA. RefSeq lists it as uncharacterized. Lineage: Eukaryota; Metazoa; Chordata; Actinopteri; Clupeiformes; Engraulidae. The record is from RefSeq and is a predicted model, not a curated record. The transcript has 2 exons.